AAAAUAAAACCUAAAGAUAUGUGUAUCCGACAUGUGAUUGUUUUUGUUCGUGUUUGUUUUGUUUUUGUUGUUGUUUGUUUUGUUUUGUUUUGUUUUGUUUUUUUAAGAAGACAGAGUUUCUCUGUGUAGCCCUGGCAUUCUUGGAACUCCCUUUAUAGACCAGGGCUGCCUCUGCUGGGAUUAAAUGCUUUUAUUCUCUAUUCUCACAUAAGAAAGGGAGACAGCUUACUCUGUGUUUUAUUCAGUUUUGUUUGUUUGUUUGUUUGUUUGAGACAGGUAAAUUGACAGGAAGUUUCAGACACAGUGAGACCUCCAGAAUACUUGAAGCUUGAGAAUGGAAAAAGAGUACAAAUGGUCAUCAAUCCCAGAAGUUGCAGAUAUUUGCACUGGGGACUUGGAAACCCAGUACCUUCCUUUGUCAUUGGAGGUCCCAGAACCAACUUCCUCACAGACACCAAGGGCCAACUGUGUUUCCUAUUUGGUGUAAGAGUUCCCGUGAAGGAUCAGAGACAUGCCACAGGCUUCUUAUUGACCUGCUCUGACCUUCUGGCUAGUCCUGCAUAGAGGAGAAAGGUUGUGCUGAAUAGCUGGCCUAUGGCAAUUGAGGCCCAGACUAUCCUUCCAGAGUUGAACUCCGCCUUUGGUGCCAGUGAGAUGGACAGAGACUGGAGGCACGGAGAGGAGGAAGGCACCUGGAGGCCCUGCAGGGUAUGUUUGCUGCUAGCUUCUAAGAAUGCCUGUCUAGAACUGACUGCUGUCCACUCUCUGAUGAGAAAGACCUCCCAGGGGGUGGGGGAGACAGUCUGCGGGCCUGCUCCAUGUUUUGAGUUGAACAUGUGUGCAAAUCUUGGUGCUCUUUUAAAUGCAAGUUCUGAUGCCGUGGGUCUGAGCCAGGCAUUUCUAAUGAGCUGGCAGAUGAUGCCCUGAGGCCAGGUCAUGAGACCACACUUACCGGGUCUCCUAGAAUUCUACCCUUUGGGUCUUGGGCCUUUUCUUGCAUAGAUCAGUGGUUGUGCUCCCCAGAAGUCUCCUCUGCAGCCACAUGAUUGCAGUGGAAUUCCAGAGGGUAGGAGGCAGGGGAAUGAAUAAAGCCACUGGCAUUUACGCUGCUUAUUUUCUUUGACACUCCCUCCCCUUUGCUAAAGCCUAAAGGCAAGGCCCUGGCAUCCUGCAAGAUUGCCAGAGACACUCUCUACCAAGCCCUCUGGACAAGGUCAAGUCCCUAAGCACCAUUUCCAUAGCAACACUUUGCAAUUUGUCUCUCACCACCACUUCCCUGUUUGAGCUCACAUUAGGUUUAUUCUUCAGUAGCCUCAUGAACAUAUGCUCGCCCUCUCUCAUGAAAAAGCAGGAGCCCCUUGCUUCUUCAUCCUCAUCCCUAGAGGGUACCUUGGAUGCAGAGUGUACUCCAAACUUACAAAUGAAAUUGUGAGUGACACAAGACCUCCUUCACAUGUUUACUUCCGUAGAGACUCCUUUGGACGGAUGUUUGGCAAUGGCUUCAAGUGUUAGGUAAACACUUUAAAUUUACUUCUUAGCUCAGCAGUUAACUCCAGUGGGCAAAAUUUUGGGGGAGAGAAUGUAAGAAGGGCUGGCUGAACCAUGUUUCUGAGGUGCAGGGAAAAGCUGGGGGGACCUACGAAUUAACUUGAGGAGCAGGAGCAGGAAUCUGAAGCUUGUAGCCAGGAAGGACUCCUUGGCUGUAGCUGACUCUCCCUCAGCUUCUCGCAGGUCAUGUGUCAAGCUUAGCAACUUCAGUAAUGUGCUGCUCCCACACCUCUUUUACUCUAAGCCUGUGAUCUCAGAUUCCCAACAGCAUUUAUCAAAUCCAUGGAAAUAUCCCCCUUCUGUCCCCUGCAGGGGAGGUUUCACUAGGGGAGGGGGAGAGCUAAUAAGUUUUCUUGCUGGCUAAUCAGUUGCCUGAGGCAAACACCAGCAACUCUGGGCUUGCUUGCAUGAAACAGGCAGUGAAUGAUGCUGGAACCUGGGUGCUUUGCAAGGCAGAGCCCAGAAUGCAAGUGACACAUUACAUUCAUGCUCUGCCACUGGGUGUUGUUUCUCUGGGACUCCUGGGAGCUUACAUGCAUCAAGCUCUGAACUUUAAAGGAACCCAAACUUCCUCUAUUUCUUUAAUCCUCAAACACAAUCAGUUUAGGGAGUAUGCUGCUCAGACUUCAUGGUUUCCCUCUGUCUAUCUCUUUGUAAGGUGUAGACAUCUGCAGGGGUAUGGGACUUUGUGUCCACUGGUCAGACUUUUCAGCUUCAACUUUGGCAACAUUCUCUACUGCAAUGGACACUGGGAAAAUCCAGUUUCUCAUGGUGGUGAUGGGGCUUGGGAAACUGUCUCUUCUUUUGGAGUUGACAUUUUCGUAGCAUGCAAUGCUUGAGACCUCCAGACCAUAUUAUAAAAAAGAGACCUUUUCAAGCUGGGCUGCAUCACCUUUACUCCCUAGGCCCCUGAUGCUAUUCCUCUGGGCUUCACAGCCAGCUGCCUCCCCAUCAGCAGCCUGCGUUGGAUCUCUUUUGCAGGUACUCAGUUCAUGUGUGGCUUC
This is a long non-coding RNA of Peromyscus leucopus (white-footed mouse), 2552 nucleotides long. RefSeq lists it as uncharacterized. Lineage: Eukaryota; Metazoa; Chordata; Mammalia; Rodentia; Cricetidae. The transcript has 3 exons. The record is from RefSeq and is a predicted model, not a curated record.